This 484-nucleotide ribosomal RNA is filed under the name uncultured bacterium. Its description in RNAcentral is "partial 16S ribosomal RNA". It matches the Rfam family "Bacterial small subunit ribosomal RNA", at positions 28 to 507 of the family's 1533-position model. The record is from RNAcentral.
AUUGAACGCUGGCGGCAUGCUUUACACAUGCAAGUCGAACGGCAGCGCGGGCUUCGGCCUGGCGGCGAGUGGCGAACGGGUGAGUAAUGCAUCGGAACGUGCCCAGUAGUGGGGGAUAGCCCGGCGAAAGCCGGAUUAAUACCGCAUACGACCUGAGGGUGAAAGCGGGGGACCGAAAGGCCUCGCGCUAUUGGAGCGGGCGAUGUCGGAUUAGCUAGUUGGUGGGGUAAAGGCGUACCAAGGCGACGAUCCGUAGCUGGUCUGAGAGGACGACCAGCCACACUGGGACUGAGACACGGCCCAGACUCCUACGGGAGGCAGCAGUGGGGAAUUUUGGACAAUGGGGGCAACCCUGAUCCAGCCAUGCCGCGUGCGGGAAGAAGGCCUUCGGGUUGUAAACCGCUUUUGUUCGGGAAGAAAUCCUCUGGGCUAAUACCCCGGGGGGAUGACGGUACCGGAAGAAUAAGCACCGGCUAACUACGUG